Molecule: ribosomal RNA, 435 nt
Filed under: uncultured bacterium
Lineage: Bacteria
Description: partial 16S ribosomal RNA
Rfam family: Bacterial small subunit ribosomal RNA
Source: RNAcentral
AGCGAACGCUGGCGGCAGGCUUAACACAUGCAAGUCGAACGGGCAUAGCAAUAUUUCAGUGGCAGACGGGUGCGUAACGCGUGGUAACGUACCUUUUGGUUCGGAACAACACAGGGAAACUUGUGCUAAUACCGGAUAAGCCCUUACGGGGAAAGAUUUAUCGCCUGAAGAUCGGCCCGCGUCUGAUUAGCUUGUUGGUAUGGUAAUGGCCUACCAAGGCGACGAUCAGUAGCUGGUCUGAGAGGAGGAUCAGUGACAUUGGGACUGAGACCCGACUCCAACUCGUACGAGCAGUAGCAGUGGGGGAUAUAGGACAAUGAGCCAGAGGCUGCUCCAGCCAUGCCGCGUGGACGAUGAACGGGCUAGAGUUGUAAAGCGCUAUUGUGCGGGAAGAUAAUGACGGUACCGAAAGAAGAAGCACCGGCUAACUUCGUG